GGAGCUGAAGCGGUUGGACGGCACGGUGAACUGCUCGUAGAGCGCCAUCUUGUUCCUUGGCGGAGCCCGCGGGCCGCCGCCCUUGCCUGCGUCGCUGACGUGGAGCCGCGGGAACAGCGGACCCAUCACCUUCCCCGGCUCCUCCUUGCCUCCUUGUCCACCGCCUCCCCUCGUCAUGCCCAGGAGCCAGGGGAGCGCGCCGUGUCAAUAUCACGCAGGCAGCUCGUGGCGGCAGCAAGAAGAUCCCGAAUCCUCAGCAGCAGCUUCAGCCACCACGUUUACCCAGUGUCAGGGCCGGCGAUGGGGGAGGCCGGGGUGCAGGCGCACAGCUGCUACCGCGGCCAUGGCGGCCCAACUGAAAGGGAAAUCAAACCGUG
Molecule: unclassified non-coding RNA, 377 nt
Filed under: Zea mays
Lineage: Eukaryota; Viridiplantae; Streptophyta; Magnoliopsida; Poales; Poaceae
Description: misc RNA Zm00001eb159900
Source: RNAcentral